CGGGACGGGUGAGUAAUGUCUGGGAAACUGCCUGAUGGAGGGGGAUAACUACUGGAAACGGUAGCUAAUACCGCAUAACGUCGCAAGACCAAAGAGGGGGACCUUCGGGCCUCUUGCCAUCGGAUGUGCCCAGAUGGGAUUAGCUAGUAGGUGGGGUAACGGCUCACCUAGGCGACGAUCCCUAGCUGGUCUGAGAGGAUGCCAGCCACACUGGAACUGAGACACGGUCAG
RNAcentral lists this ribosomal RNA (231 nucleotides) under uncultured bacterium. RNAcentral describes it as "partial 16S ribosomal RNA". It matches the Rfam family "Bacterial small subunit ribosomal RNA", at positions 100 to 334 of the family's 1533-position model. The record is from RNAcentral.